Molecule: non-coding RNA, 96 nt
Organism: Pluteus cervinus
Lineage: Eukaryota; Fungi; Basidiomycota; Agaricomycetes; Agaricales; Pluteaceae
Source: the annotation of a GenBank genome assembly
ACACUGGUGGUGAAGUGGAAUCACACUUACUUCCUAGCGAGGGACUUGGGUCCCUUUCUGCCAUAAGAGGCGAGGGUUCGAAUCCCUCCCAGUGUG